GCUGGGCAAGGUGGCUUAUGCCUGUAAUCCCAGCACUUUGGGAGGCUAAGGUGGGAGGAUCACUUGAGCCCAGGAGGUCAAGGCUGCAGUGAGCUGUCAUUGCACCACUGCACUUUAGCCUGGGCUACAGAGUGAGACUCUGUCUCAA
Molecule: small RNA, 148 nt
Filed under: Pongo abelii (Sumatran orangutan)
Lineage: Eukaryota; Metazoa; Chordata; Mammalia; Primates; Hominidae
Description: Metazoan signal recognition particle RNA (ENSPPYG00000038628.1)
Source: Rfam by way of RNAcentral